GUCGUAUUUGGCACAGUCUGUCAAUCCAAAAUUGAAUUCACAAUUUUAAUGACUGCAGGGCUACACAAAUUCCUGGCAAGAUGCUCAUAGGACAGGCUAUUAUUAGCUAAUGCCUCAUCUCAUAAUAGCUGACAGCAGCCCUCUAAGAACCAAGUCAUCACCUGGAGCAAAGCAGGAAAGGGAAGAUGCUGGAGGAGCUAUUAUAGAACCUUCCAUCACUCCCUACAUGAAUCUUCCUGGGCUAUCCAAACAAACACUGAGCCAGAAUCCACCUAGACAUAUGGUGUUGUCAAAUAACGUGAGAUUUCAAAAACCACAACCUAAAGACCAACAGAAAAGUACAUGUGCAGUGCUACUGAGGAUUAUACAAAUGUCACCCCUCAGACUGGUAAUAUUAUCACAUCUUUCUUUUUAA
This 415-nucleotide long non-coding RNA is filed under the name Macaca mulatta (Rhesus monkey). RNAcentral's name for it is "lncRNA (ENSMMUG00000044473.2)". Lineage: Eukaryota; Metazoa; Chordata; Mammalia; Primates; Cercopithecidae. The record is from RNAcentral.